GAGGAAGAGGAAGAACAAGAAGAGUAGAAGAAAAGAAUAAUAAUAAUAAUAAUAAUAAUAAUAAUAAUAAUAAUAAUAAUAAUAAUAAUAACAACAACAAAAAUAAUGAUAAUAAUAAUAAGAAGAAGAAGAAGAAAAAAUAGUAUAAGAAGAAGAGGAAAAAUGAAAAGAAGUAAGAAGAAGAAGAACAAGAAGAAGAAGAAGAAGAGGAAGAAGAAGGAGAAUAAGAAGAAGAGGAGGAGGAUGAGACCAAAAGAAGAAGAAGAAGACGAAAAAGUAAAGGAGGAGAAGAGGAGAAGAAGAAGGGGAGAAGAAG
This 316-nucleotide long non-coding RNA is filed under the name Hordeum vulgare. RNAcentral's name for it is "long non-coding RNA (HVUL_LNC009711)". Lineage: Eukaryota; Viridiplantae; Streptophyta; Magnoliopsida; Poales; Poaceae. The record is from RNAcentral.